This is a long non-coding RNA of Alosa alosa (allis shad), 414 nucleotides long. RefSeq lists it as uncharacterized. The transcript has 4 exons. The record is from RefSeq and is a predicted model, not a curated record. Lineage: Eukaryota; Metazoa; Chordata; Actinopteri; Clupeiformes; Clupeidae.
GUCACCUGAUUCAUUCACCUGACGUGUCAUUCACGUGACCUGUUGUAGCAGGUAGAUAGCUACCGGGUUGCAGGCCCUUUGUUUAAAUUGAAUGGCGCGGCAAACACAGUGGUGAGAGCACUGUUUUGCGUGUGGAUUUUUGGCCGGCGGUGAUUUAACAGAGCGGUACACUGCAGUCAUCCUGCCCGUUUGCUUCCCUGGGCUUUUGUGCAACAUUAUCUGCAGUUCGCUUGGAUUUGUUGGUUCCGAGCAAGAGGUCAGCCGACUAAAUGCGUGCAGUUGCGGGGGAUUUUAAAGAGGAACGACCUGUAGCCACUGUUUUUCCCACCGCCAUUGAUUGUGUAACCCAUCAUGUAUUGUGAUGCCUUACCUAAACCGACGAUAUAGUGGUAGCUCGUUUGUAUAGGUAUCCUA